Molecule: ribosomal RNA, 500 nt
Filed under: uncultured bacterium
Lineage: Bacteria
Description: bacterial SSU rRNA
Rfam family: Bacterial small subunit ribosomal RNA
Source: RNAcentral
AGAGUUUGAUCCUGGCUCAGAUUGAACGCUGGCGGCAUGCUUUACACAUGCAAGUCGAACGCGGGUGAGGGGCAACUCUCACCUGAGUGGCGAACGGGUGAGUAAUACAUCGGAACGUGUCCCGUAGUGGGGGAUAACCCGGCGAAAGCCGGACUAAUACCGCAUAUGCUCCACGGAGGAAAGUGGGGGACCCGCAAGGGCCUCAUGCCAUGGGAGCGGCCGAUGUCCGAUUAGCUUGUUGGCGGGGUAACGGCCCACCAAGGCGACGAUCGGUAGCUGGUCUGAGAGGAUGAUCAGCCACACUGGGACUGAGACACGGCCCAGACUCCUACGGGAGGCAGCAGUGGGGAAUUUUGGACAAUGGGGGCAACCCUGAUCCAGCCAUGCCGCGUGAGUGAAGAAGGCCUUCGGGUUGUAAAGCUCUUUUGGCCGGAAAGAAAAGGCUGCGGAUAACACCUGCGGCUCUUGACGGUACCGGCAGAAUAAGCACCGGCUAACUA